GUGUAUGGGUGAUGCCCCUUGAUGACUUGCCUCUGACUUAUGUAUACCCCAUAUUAUGCAUUGCCUUGAGUUCUUUUACAGGUCACAUGUACAUGAAGCAUGGUGGUUGAACCAAGGUAUGCAACAUGACCUCAAGAUGGGGUUUUGGAUUAACAUGUGCACAAAAGGGAACCUCCAAGGUCAAUGGCCAAUUUUGGAGAAAUAGAAAUAGGAUUUUGGACCUAGG
RNAcentral lists this long non-coding RNA (226 nucleotides) under Lathyrus oleraceus (garden pea). RNAcentral describes it as "Pisum sativum (pea) long non-coding RNA (PSAT_LNC026215)". Lineage: Eukaryota; Viridiplantae; Streptophyta; Magnoliopsida; Fabales; Fabaceae. The record is from RNAcentral.